RNAcentral lists this ribosomal RNA (498 nucleotides) under uncultured bacterium. Its description in RNAcentral is "partial 16S ribosomal RNA". It matches the Rfam family "Bacterial small subunit ribosomal RNA", at positions 28 to 508 of the family's 1533-position model. The record is from RNAcentral.
GAUGAACGCUGGCGGCGUGCCUAAUACAUGCAAGUCGAGCGAACAGACGAGGAGCUUGCUCCUCUGACAUUAGCGGCGAACGGGUGAGUAACACGUGGAUAACCUACCUAUAAGCCUGGGAUAACUUCGGGAAACCGGAGCUAAUACCGGAUAAUAUAUUGAACCGCAUGGUUCAAUAGUGAAAGACGGUUUUGCUGUACCUUAUAGAUGGAUCCGCGGCGCAUUAGCUAGAUGGUAAGGUAACGGCUUACCAAGGCAACGAUACGUAGCCGACCUGAGAGGGUGAUCGGCCACACUGGAACUGAGACACGGUCCAGACUCCUACGGGAGGCAGCAGUAGGGAAUCUUCCGCAAUGGGCGAAAGCCUGACGGAGCAACGCCGCGUGAGUGAUGAAGGGCUUCGGAUCGUAAAACUCUGUUAUUAGGGAAGAACAAAUGUGUAAGUAACUAUGCACGUCUUGACGGUACCUAAACAGAAAGCCACGGCUAACUACGGGC